Molecule: long non-coding RNA, 413 nt
Organism: Chinchilla lanigera (long-tailed chinchilla)
Lineage: Eukaryota; Metazoa; Chordata; Mammalia; Rodentia; Chinchillidae
Exons: 2
Source: RefSeq, a predicted model, not a curated record
CUUCUGCCUCAGCCACCCAAAUACUGAGAUUACAGGUGCUGUGCUGCUGAGCCUUGCUGCCGCCCCUCUUUGAUGGAAUUGUUAGAUCACAGAAAUGCUUUGGAUAUGAAAUGCCUUCAUUCUAUCAAAACAUUUGACUUCCUGCUAUAGCAUUAUGCAAGAAAUGAAAAAGUAGCCUAGGAAACAAUCAGAUUACAACAAAUAGAAAGAUUUACUACAAACAAAACCAAAAGCUAUGGAUAAGUAAACAGUGCCCAUGUGGAAAUAAGUCUCUAGACAGAGCUCUAGAAGCAUGCCUCAAGGCUUUGACGAAGUAUUGUUCAACAUUUUUGUCAAUGACUUGAACAAAGACCACAAAAGCAUGUGAUCAGAUUUUUAGAUAAAACAAAGUUGGAGGGUAAUUCCAAAAAUGA